This 867-nucleotide ribosomal RNA is filed under the name uncultured Alphaproteobacteria bacterium. Its description in RNAcentral is "bacterial SSU rRNA". It matches the Rfam family "Bacterial small subunit ribosomal RNA", at positions 8 to 922 of the family's 1533-position model. The record is from RNAcentral. Lineage: Bacteria; Pseudomonadati; Pseudomonadota; Alphaproteobacteria.
AGAGUUUGAUCCUGGCUCAGAACGAACGCUGGCGGCAGGCUUAACACAUGCAAGUCGAGCGAACCCUUCGGGUUGAGCGGCGGACGGGUGAGUAACGCGUGGGAAUAUGCCUCUUGGUACGGAAUAGCCCUGGGAAACUGGGAGUAAUACCGUAUGUGCCCUUUGGGGGAAAGAUUUAUCGCCAAGAGAUUAGCCCGCGUUGGAUUAGGUAGUUGGUGGGGUAAUGGCCCACCAAGCCGACGAUCCAUAGCUGGUUUGAGAGGAUGAUCAGCCACACUGGGACUUAGACACGGCCCAGACUCCUACGGGAGGCAGCAGUGGGGAAUCUUAGACAAUGGGGGCAACCCUGAUCUAGCCAUGCCGCGUGUGUGAUGAAGGCCUUAGGGUCGUAAAGCACUUUCGCCUGUGAAGAUAAUGACGGUAGCAGGUAAAGAAACCCCGGCUAACUCCGUGCCAGCAGCCGCGGUAAUACGGAGGGGGUUAGCGUUGUUCGGAAUUACUGGGCGUAAAGCGCGCGUAGGCGGAUUAGUAAGUUAGGGGUGAAAUCCCGGGGCUCAACCCCGGAACUGCCCUUGAUACUGUUAGUCUUGAGUUCGAGAGAGGUGAGUGGAAUUCCGAGUGUAGAGGUGAAAUUCGUAGAUAUUCGGAGGAACACCAGUGGCGAAGGCGGCUCACUGGCUCGAUACUGACGCUGAGGUGCGAAAGUGUGGGGAGCAAACAGGAUUAGAUACCCUGGUAGUCCACACCGUAAACGAUGAAUGCCAGUCGUCGGGUAGUAUACUGCUCGGUGACACACCUAACGGAUUAAGCAUUCCGCCUGGGGAGUACGGUCGCAAGAUUAAAACUCAAAGGAAUUGACGGGGGCCC